GCUGAGCUGAAUAGCGUCACCUUUUGACCCAAGCGGGGCACCAAGGUGAUGGAACAUGGCUUUGGUUUAAUAAAUUGGACGGGUGUGUGCACCAUGUUUGCCUGUUCGCUCCAAGUUGAGAAUUGAACCAUGAGAUUUGAGCGAAGACACGGUUCUUGUGGGUCUUAGACGAGAGGGUACGACGUGAGGCUGGUUUUACAUAAUAAUUAAAGACGAAUUAUUUCGAUUGGAUUAUUUCUUACUAUUUUCUAGCUUGCUUGAAUUGCCAUUAUCAUUUUAAUACACAUUUUAAAUCAUAGCCAUCAUUUUU
This 310-nucleotide non-coding RNA is filed under the name Trifolium pratense (red clover). Lineage: Eukaryota; Viridiplantae; Streptophyta; Magnoliopsida; Fabales; Fabaceae. The record is from RNAcentral.